GGAGAGAUGGCUGAGUGGNUGAUAGCCCCGGUCUGAAAAC
This 40-nucleotide transfer RNA is filed under the name Armeria pubigera. RNAcentral's name for it is "partial tRNA-Ser". The record is from RNAcentral. Lineage: Eukaryota; Viridiplantae; Streptophyta; Magnoliopsida; Caryophyllales; Plumbaginaceae.